GCACUACUGCAUUUUCUGCCUUCAGGUGCCGGUAAACUCCUCUUGCAUUGUUUGUAGUUUAUUUCACUGUAUUCAAUGUUCCUUUUGUCUACAUGGAUGCGUCAUGCGUGUAGCCAUGUAAACAAGCAAUAGGCUCUGUGUAAAACUCUCUAAGAUUUUGUUAAGUUGGAUUAGCCCAAAAUUCUGGGUCUUUGAGUUCAGCUGACAAAUAAGUAAGCGGUUCCCUUGCAGCUUUCACCCAGCUUGAACAUGGGUUUGAUCAAGUUGAUUCAUCAGGUAAAGAAAUCACAAGUUCCAAGUCCCAUGCGUCAUAACUAGCCCACCUUUGAGGAACAGCUAGCACAGGUGUUCUGGGCUAUGUUUAAUAUCAGCAAGUACUGUGCUGCUGUUUUAGAAAUUUGGCCAGAGAGAGUCAGAAGAAUGACCUCUUAAUUGAGGAACUAAUCAACAUCUAAAGCAGAAAUAUGGCUGCCUGAUUUGCUUAUAGAUAAAAUGAAGUAUGCAUGCUCAUCUCAUCUAGAUAUGUGGAACUUAUGUGCAUUAAUCUAAAAGUGGCA
Molecule: unclassified non-coding RNA, 557 nt
Filed under: Hevea brasiliensis (rubber tree)
Lineage: Eukaryota; Viridiplantae; Streptophyta; Magnoliopsida; Malpighiales; Euphorbiaceae
Source: RNAcentral